GACGAACGCUGGCGGCGUGCUUAACACAUGCAAGUCGAACGCUGAAGCUCAGCUUUUGUUGGUUGGAUGAGUGGCGAACGGGUGAGUAACACGUGUGUAACCUGCCCCCUUCUUAGGGAUAACACCCGGAAACGGGUGCUCAUACGUGAUAUACACUGGUCUUCGCCUGGGGGUAGUUUGGAAGGGGGUUUUUGGUGGGGGAUGGGCUCGCGGCCUAUCUGCGUGGUGGAGGGGUGAUGGCCUACCAAGGCUUUGACGGGUAGCCGGGCUGAGAGGGUGACCGGUCACAGUGAGACUGAGAUACGGCCCAGAGUCGUACGGGAGGCAGCAGUGGGGGACAUUGCACAAUGGCCGCAGGCCUGAUGCAGCGACGCCGCGUGAGGGAUGGAGGUCUUCGAAUUGUGAACCUCGUGCGCAAAUCGUCAAGACGGAACAAUGGUUGUGGUGAGGGUAGUGGGUAAAGAAGCGCCGGCUAACUACGUG
Molecule: ribosomal RNA, 483 nt
Filed under: uncultured bacterium
Lineage: Bacteria
Description: partial 16S ribosomal RNA
Rfam family: Bacterial small subunit ribosomal RNA
Source: RNAcentral